AAAUAGAGAGGUAGUAGUAAUAGUGGUAUAUAUUGUAGCGUGAUAAAUUCCUGAGUGAUAGUUUUUUUUUUUAAGAGAGAUAGGUAGCACACUACCCGUUUCGUUUAUUUUAUUUAGAAAUAAAUUUAGCUGGAAACAUGAAUUAGCUAGGAUUCGAACUUGAAUCUCGGAUACCAACCAUCAAGCUCUUUGCCACUUGCUCUAAAGACGGUCGGUCCUGAGUAAUAGUUUAAAGUGAAAAAGGAUGAGUGAUAGUUUAAAGUGAAAAAAGAAUGACCGGAUGAUUGAAAUUGAGAUAUUGAAUAUUUAUUUUUUUCAGUAUUU
RNAcentral lists this long non-coding RNA (324 nucleotides) under Ananas comosus (pineapple). RNAcentral's name for it is "long non-coding RNA (ACOM_LNC032324)". Lineage: Eukaryota; Viridiplantae; Streptophyta; Magnoliopsida; Poales; Bromeliaceae. The record is from RNAcentral.